This 253-nucleotide ribosomal RNA is filed under the name uncultured bacterium. RNAcentral describes it as "partial 16S ribosomal RNA". It matches the Rfam family "Bacterial small subunit ribosomal RNA", at positions 524 to 776 of the family's 1533-position model. RNAcentral also lists the same sequence under 1 other name. The record is from RNAcentral.
UACGGAGGAUCCAAGCGUUAUCCGGAAUCAUUGGGUUUAAAGGGUCCGUAGGCGGUCAGAUAAGUCAGUGGUGAAAGCCCAUCGCUCAACGGUGGAACGGCCAUUGAUACUGUCUGACUUGAAUUAUUAGGAAGUAACUAGAAUAUGUAGUGUAGCGGUGAAAUGCUUAGAGAUUACAUGGAAUACCAAUUGCGAAGGCAGGUUACUACUAAUUGAUUGACGCUGAUGGACGAAAGCGUGGGUAGCGAACAGG